UACGUAGGGAGCAAGCGUUGUCCGGAAUCAUUGGGCGUAAAGCGCGUGUAGGCGGCCCGAAGAGUCUGGUGUGAAAACUUGAGGCUCAACCUCAAGCUGUCGCUAGAUACUGUCGGGCUUGAAUCCGGAAGAGGAGUGUGGAAUUCCUGGUGUAGCGGUGGAGUGCGCAGAUAUCAGGAGGAACACCAAUGGCGAAGGCAGCACUCUGGUACGUGAUUGACGCUGAGACGCGAAAGCGUGGGGAGCAAACAGG
This 253-nucleotide ribosomal RNA is filed under the name uncultured bacterium. Its description in RNAcentral is "partial 16S ribosomal RNA". It matches the Rfam family "Bacterial small subunit ribosomal RNA", at positions 524 to 776 of the family's 1533-position model. The record is from RNAcentral.